GGUAAGUGGUUCUUUUCAAUCUGUGGGUUUCUUGUACCUACAAGAAUGUGUUUGUGGUAUUUGAUAAGACAAACGUCACAACAUCAAUUCAGUAGCAUUCACUAGAAAUGACUGAGUGCUAAAAGUGCUGAGUGUACCUCUUUUUUAUGGGUUCAUUGACAAACAAAACAAUACAAAAGCCAUAGCAAAACUGUUUUGGGCCAAAAAUUAACAUCAAUUCAGUAGCAUUCACUAGAAAUGACUGAGUGCUAAAAGUGCUGAGUGUACCUCUUUUUAUGGGUUCAUUGACAAACAAAACAAUACAAAAGCAAUAGCAAAACUGUUUCGGGCCAAAAAUGUCCAUUUCAAUCCUUCCCUAUUCCAAAGCUUUUCUUGUUUGUUAGGUCUGUUGGAUGUGUCUGUUCUCGGCUGUUUCUCCAGGUCUGAAUCUGUUCUGAUUUUUGCUUGUAGGCGCUGAACUUGCUCAGCAAAUGACAUCUAUACGUCCUAAGUCUAAAUCACUGCUGGGGAAACUGGGUCAAGCCCUGUCUCGUAAUCAUGAUUCUAAAAAGUUUAGACGCUCAAGGAUGAUGGCUGAUUAUUAUGACAGUGACAUCUGUUCUGCAUCAUUGGCAAUAAAGGGUGAAUGGACCAAACAUAGACACUGAAGUCCCCUUCACAUAUCAACUGACAUUGUGAUGUACUUUAUUUGUCUAGAUUUAUGCAG
Molecule: long non-coding RNA, 706 nt
Filed under: Sinocyclocheilus grahami
Lineage: Eukaryota; Metazoa; Chordata; Actinopteri; Cypriniformes; Cyprinidae
Description: lncRNA (ENSSGRG00000049587.1)
Source: RNAcentral